GAGGUAGAAGAGCGAUCGGAGUUGGGAAGAUGAAGCUAUUGCCUAACGUCCCUGACACUCGACAUGCCUUUCAGCAAAGGAAAACAAGAGGGUGAUUGAGAUUUUGGGAUUUGAUGGUGUUAGGGGUCUAAUCUGAGAAUGCAGAAAUUAAAUGAAGAAUAGAGAGAAUUUGAAAGGAAAAACUGGGUUUCAUAUAUUCGAUAGGAUCGAGAAUUGGGUACAAGCCACCCCAAAUAGCUAAAGAGAAAUAUCAAGAGCUAGCUACAGCUGUCCUACUCACCACAAGAGAGCAGCACGUGUAUCUUGGCCAAAUAUAUCUAUCAACAGUAAGAAAGUAAAUAGGUAAUGGGCCUGGUGGUCACAAGCAUGGUUGGG
This 375-nucleotide long non-coding RNA is filed under the name Rosa chinensis. Its description in RNAcentral is "sRNA RchiOBHm_Chr4g0399121". Lineage: Eukaryota; Viridiplantae; Streptophyta; Magnoliopsida; Rosales; Rosaceae. The record is from RNAcentral.